RNAcentral lists this unclassified non-coding RNA (212 nucleotides) under uncultured fungus. RNAcentral describes it as "sequence contains ITS1". Lineage: Eukaryota; Fungi. The record is from RNAcentral.
GUAUUAAAAGAUUAUUUUUUAUGUAAUCUCAAAAUGAGUUCAGUUCAAUUUAAUAAAGGAUGAGAUAGUUGUUGGGGACGGCUAAAAAAUAAAUUUUUUAACCAUGUUUAAUCCCCAACAUAACAUACGGUCAAAGCCAGCACAAUGGGAAGAAGCUUCAAUGAUGAAGACUCACUUCAGUAAUGAUCCUUCCGCAGGUUCACCUACGGAAA